This 649-nucleotide small RNA is filed under the name Pan troglodytes (chimpanzee). RNAcentral describes it as "retained intron". Lineage: Eukaryota; Metazoa; Chordata; Mammalia; Primates; Hominidae. The record is from RNAcentral.
AGGCCCUGAAUCGUGAGCAGGAAAGUGCCAGACUGCAGCAACGGGAAAGAGAGACACUGGAGGAGGAAAGGCAAGCUCUGACUCUGAGGUUGGAGGCAGAACAGCAGCGGUGCUGUGUCCUGCAGGAAGAGCGGGAUGCAGCUCGGGCUGGGCAACUGAGUGAGCAUCGAGAGUUGGAGACUCUUCGGGCUGCCCUAGAAGAAGAACGGCAGACCUGGGCCCAGCAAGAGCACCAGCUUAAGGAACACUACCAGGCGCUGCAGGAGGAGAGCCAGGCUCAGUUGGAAAGGGAGAAGGAGAAGAGCCAGAGGGAAGCCCAGGCCGCCUGGGAGACCCAGCACCAGUUGGCAUUGGUGCAGUCUGAGGUGCGGCGGCUGGAAGGAGAGCUGGAUACAGCUCGGAGAGAGAGAGAUGCCCUGCAGCUGGAAAUGAGCUUGGUGCAGGCCCGGUAUGAAAGCCAGCGGAUCCAGCUGGAGUCGGAGCUGGCUGUGCAGCUGGAGCAGCGGGUGACAGAGCGGCUGGCGCAGGCUCAGGAGAGCAGCCUACGGCAAGCAGCCUCCCUCAGGGAACAUCACAGGUACGUGGGACUCACUGGGUGUCACUUCUCUCAGCCACAGCACGUAUCAGUGCCAGGCCCGUGUUCCCUUCA